UCUAUGGGCUGUCUCUUCACUUCCAG
This 26-nucleotide non-coding RNA is filed under the name Cricetulus griseus (Chinese hamster). The record is from RNAcentral. Lineage: Eukaryota; Metazoa; Chordata; Mammalia; Rodentia; Cricetidae.